Molecule: transfer RNA, 66 nt
Filed under: Broscus cephalotes
Lineage: Eukaryota; Metazoa; Arthropoda; Insecta; Coleoptera; Carabidae
Description: tRNA-Pro
Source: RNAcentral
CAAAGGAUAGUUUAUAUAAAAUAUUAAUUUUGGAGAUUAAUGAUAAAAUAGCUAUUUUUCCUUUGA